Molecule: long non-coding RNA, 1513 nt
Filed under: Macaca fascicularis (crab-eating macaque)
Lineage: Eukaryota; Metazoa; Chordata; Mammalia; Primates; Cercopithecidae
Description: lncRNA (ENSMFAG00000060368.1)
Rfam family: Metazoan signal recognition particle RNA (bases 502-653)
Source: RNAcentral
UUUUUUUUUUUUUUUUUUUUUGAGAUGGAGUCUUGCUCUGUCACCCAGGCUGGAGUGCAGUGGCCGGAUCUCAGCUCACUGCAAGCUCCUCCUCUCGGGUUCACGCCAUUUUCCUGCCUCAGCCUCCCGAGUAGCUGGGACUACAGGCACCCGCCACCGGCUAGUUUUUUUGUAUUUUUUAGUAGAGACGGGGUUUCACUGUAUUAGCCAGGAUGGUCUCGAUCUCCUGACCUCAUGAUCCGCCCGUCUCGGCCUCCCAAAGUGCUGGGAUUACAGGCUUGAGCCACCGCGCCCGGCCACUAAUUUUUUUAAAAAAUUCAAAAUUACAUAUUACCACCAGAUAGCAUUUUCCUAGAUAGGACUUUGAGUAGGCCGGGACAGUGGCUCACACCUGUAAUCCAGGCACUUUGGGAGGCUGAGGUGGGAGGACUAUUUGAGCCCAGGAGUGUGAGACCAGCCUAGGCAACAUGGUGAGACCCUGUCUACAAAAAAAAUUUAAAACUUAGGCAUGGUGGCACAUGCCUGUAUCCCAGCUACUGGGGAGGCUGAGGCAGGAGGAUUACCUGAGUCCAGGAGUUCAGGGCUGCAGUGAGCAAUGAUGGGUUGGCAACACUGCACUCUAGCCUGGAUGACAGAGCAAGAUCCUGUCUCUAUGUUAAGUAAGUAAAUAAAUAAAUAUUGGCUGGGCGUGGUGACUCACGCCUAUAAUCCCAACUCUUUGGGAGGCCAAGGUGGGUGGAUAACAAGGUCAGGAGUUCGAGGCUAGCCUGGCCAACAUAGUCUCUACUAAAAACACAAAAACUAGCCGGGCACAGGGGUGUGCACCUGUAGUCCCAGCUAUUCAGGAGGCUGAGGCAGGAGAAUCGCUUGAACCCGAGAUCGCACCACUGCACUCCAGCCUGGGCAAAAGAUUGAGACACCAUCUCAAAAUAUAUAAAUACAUAAAUAGUCCUGGCGCAGUGGCUCAUGCCUGUAAUCCCAGCACUAUGGGAGGCUGAGGCCAGUGGAUUACCUGAGGUCAGCAGUUCAAGACUAACGUAGUCAACACGAGGCCAGUGGAUUACCUGAGGUCAGCAGUUCAAGACUAACCUAGUCAACAUGGUGAAACCCCAUCUCUACUAAAAAUACAAAAAAUUAGCUGGGUGUUGUGGUGGGCGCCUGUAAUCCCAGCUGCUUGGGAGGCUGAGGCAGCAGAAUCGCUUGAACCCAGGAGGCAAAGGUUGCAGUGAGCCAAGAUCACGCCAUUGCACUCCAGCCUGAGCAACAAGAGUAAAACUCCGUCUCAGAAUAAAAUAAAAUAAAAAUAAAUACUUCUACUUUGUUUAUAACUAAUGUUGCAAUAAAAGAUGUAUAAGGGCCAGGCGUGGUGGCUCACGCCUAUAAUCCCAGCACUUUGGGAGGCUGAAGUGGGUGAAUCAUCUGAGGUCAGGAGUUCGAGACCAGCCUGGCCAACAUAGUGAAACCCUGUCUCUCCUAAAAAUACAAAAAUUAACCAGGCAUGGUAGUGCACACC